Molecule: long non-coding RNA, 2332 nt
Organism: Wyeomyia smithii (pitcher-plant mosquito)
Lineage: Eukaryota; Metazoa; Arthropoda; Insecta; Diptera; Culicidae
Exons: 3
Source: RefSeq, a predicted model, not a curated record
AUCGAUCACCCGAGAUCCAAACUCUGAAGGUAUAUCGGGUUUGGACUCAUUGAUGCUAGAUGCAUUCGAUGAAAUAAAAAUAAGGAGGAUGAGAUUAGAUCAACUUGGAUAAGCUUCUGGAGCAACGGAUAAUGUGGUUGUACGAACGGAUAAUGUGGUUGUAGCAUAUUCAUUUUGCGAACGAUAUUUCGAUAUUAACUAUUCACGGAUUUCUGGUAUUUAUAUAUCAGCUAAAAGGGUGUAAUUUCCUGAACAAACGUGAUUUUAUAUCAUUGUCCUUCAAUUUUUCAAUGAAGAAUAAAAAUCGCACUAAAUCGCAUGAAUGACUGUUGUUACAUGGGCGAACUGUUAUUGUAGCGAUUUCGAGCAGAUUUCGAACUGUUUUAAAUCGGAAUUUUAAAACCGAAGGAUAACGAUAGAAAAUAUUUAAAAAUCAUGAUUUUAUUUGAAUGUGUGAAUGAACCGAAAAAGAGCCACGGUUUUUUGCGCGCCAGAACUGAUGGAUUCGCUCGAACCCGAAGUUUACCGAGAAAAUACGAACUGUCAACGCUCGUGAAUCAUUAUGAACCAUGAUCUGUUCAUAUGAGUUUGUUCGGAACGGUGAGUGAGCGGUUCAGAGCCGCUUUUGCAAAAAAGCCGUUUCGCACACCCCUAUGUGAAGUCUUGUUCUUCGGCCUGAAUAACACAGGUAUACAUUUUGCCAAAACCCGUCGACAUGUUGAGCCGGGGUGCGAAUGAAAUAGCUUGUCCCCGGGUCGUUUCACACCUCCUGUUUUACUGGUCUUAUUUCGGAAAAUGCACACGAAAAAGCAGGUCUUCUUCACACAGAGUUCUAUUCCACAAAAUCAAUAUGCGUCGAAGCGAAACUAAUUUAGAGCACUUUUAUAUUAAAUUGAAAUGUCUUACUUAUAAAACAUACUUUCCUGAAAAGUUAUAGAAAUGAUGUAGAAACAUGUUUUAUUUGUGAGAAAUACAUAAACACGCUGGGGUUAAUGUAAAAUAUGUUGUUUUUAAUCAUUUUGCCGGUAACCUUUUUGCACUUUUCGUUUUUCUCUUGUACUCUUAUAGCGCUUUUAAAUAGAGUCGCUUACGUUUCAUACAGUAACAAAAGUCAUGAGCUAUGAAAAUGACUAAGAUUAUGCUCCAACUAUUAGAAAUAUAGCAUUAUUAUAUAUUUUAUUUUGACAUAUUGUCGCAAUUUUUCACAAUAAAUCUAAAUUAAUAUCAAUUUCUAGUGUGUUUCAAUUGGAAAUUCACUCUCCAACCAAAAAAAUCAAAUAUAAAACAACAUAAAACGAGAAAUUUCCAAAAAUGUUCCGAAUUCCAUACAAAACGCGAAAUUUUUCAUAACGAGAUUUGUUUGUGUGCGUGGAUAGACAAAAAUGUAGCAUACCUUGUAGAACUGUCAUCAUACUUGGCAGCGAUACUAUGUAAAUCGCAGAUUCUAAAGCAAAGCAAAGCCUUGCUACUACAUUCUAAAUCGGAACUCGACAUUCUGUUAUACACCGACUUCGCAUCCAACUGUUUGAGUGUACAGAACAAUUGCGGGGCUAGCACUACGAUCCUACUGACAGUGUCAGUCUGACACUAACAGUCUCUUCCGAGCCGUAGGCUAGCAUCGUACCUCGAGACCAUCUGGGACGGUUCGAGAUCGCAGAUUCUAUAAGCAUUCGAAUCCUAAUCACUUUUCGUGACGGACGCAAUUUAAAUGUUCUUUUUAUUCCCGUACCUUUCAGUAGUAAAAAUUUGCAAAUUUCCAGAUCGACUAUAUUAUUCGUACUCCUACGUCAAAAGUGUAAUAUAAAACAUCUUUCAAAUGCUUGUGAUAACCAUUAUUGCUGGGAAACUUGAGAGAAUUUAAAAGUAAUAAUAUAAAAUAAACACAUAACCGCAUUCAAAGAGUGCACCUGUAGUGUUUUCGCAUGGCAGAUUUAUACCAGUGUGUAUGACAGAUUUCAAUAAAAGAGUUAUAAAUUCGAUUUAUUUUCCGUGUAAAAUGCGUUCUUUCCACCACAAGGGAGCGCUACAAAAUUCACUGAGCACUCAGCAGUUUUCGAAUCACAGAUGACCUUCCGUUCUGUGGGAGCCAAGCAGCACGACCAAGUUGAGCUCGUUCACUUACAGUUUUGGUCCACAAAAAGACGCGGCCUAAACAGCAGAACAAGCUUAUACUGAAGCAUCAUAUCAUUAAGAACAUCAGUAAUGGCAAACGUACCGAUGGAACUUGCGUCAGGCCGCCCUGCGUGGUGUUAUUUUCAUGCGAUCUCAGCGACCGGUCACGGCUUAUAGGGGCAGGACUGGUGGUGCUGUCUGAAGUUUAAUCAUGCACUCU